CUGAGGGUAUGGCUGUAAGGCUGGGCUCGAGUGACGACACCCAGGCGAACUAGCUACGAGCUAACCUGAAGCUAACCCAAAAAAAAUAAUAAUAAUAAAAAAAAAAAAAACCUGAAGCUAACCCUGGCUAACCCAAAGCUAAAGCGGAGGUGGGAGCCGAGCUAACGGAUGUAGCCACCUAGCUUCAACCCAACCGGAGCUAACUGGAACACCCAUCGACCUGAACCUCACACGGAGUUUAGGUGGAGGUUUUCUGCGCCUGUUCGUGAGAAGUACCUGUAUUAAAAAAGAUUUAAAUCGAUCUGUUUAAAUGUCACCAUGGCAGCCUGUGUGUCUCCAACAUCAGCUACACAAAGCAGCAAGUCCAUUUGGAUCAUUGGAGACAGCUAUGUGAGGCGUGGUGCCCAGAGAGCUGCAGAGACAACCUUGGCCUCCCUGACGUCUGUGUCUCCUGGUUCGGUUGGGGCGGACCAUCGACAUACAUACAUGUGCCGACACUUUGCGCCCUGUUUUAUAAAAUGUAGUGUUAAAAAUAAAUGUUUUUGCUCAAUUACUGGAAUUUCUUUGGUUAAGACAAAAGUGAGGAAUAAUCAUUUACAAGUUAUUUGUACAACAGGCCCAUUUUAAAUCCCAACAGUUUCUUAGCAGACAAUAGAAAUGUGUUCUUUACUAACUUUACUUGGUUUAAAAAUCUUACUAAAAUAGUGCCGUAUUGCAAAACCCAAUCAUACUUGUUAUGUAAACAUUAGCUUUGUAGAUAUUUUUUACAGAUAUGUGUGCAACAAAUCC
This is a non-coding RNA of Nothobranchius furzeri (turquoise killifish), 789 nucleotides long. Lineage: Eukaryota; Metazoa; Chordata; Actinopteri; Cyprinodontiformes; Nothobranchiidae. The record is from RefSeq and is a predicted model, not a curated record.